AACGCAUAAACUUUUUAAGGUAA
This 23-nucleotide small nuclear RNA is filed under the name Arabidopsis thaliana (thale cress). RNAcentral's name for it is "snRNA_02231". Lineage: Eukaryota; Viridiplantae; Streptophyta; Magnoliopsida; Brassicales; Brassicaceae. The record is from RNAcentral.